This 859-nucleotide long non-coding RNA is filed under the name Marmota monax (woodchuck). Lineage: Eukaryota; Metazoa; Chordata; Mammalia; Rodentia; Sciuridae. The record is from RNAcentral.
GGCAGCACACAGUCUGUUACAGCACACAGUGUCACCCAUGGUGCUCAACAGUUUGAGGCAUAAAGUAACAAUUCAAGAAAAGUUUAUUAAAUGAAAAGUUACAUGUGAUCUAUUUGCUGUGCAUUAAACCCUUUGUAGACCGUAUUGUUCAAUGUCAUACAGAUUAAAAUAUUUUUGUCAAAUUUUCUCUUUCAUUUUUUACCAUCAUGUACACAUAGAAAAGUACAUAAUGGUGUUCAGCUUAACGGAUGUGGAAGAUUUAAUUGUGGUUUGCAAAUGUUCACUCAUUUUCUCCAGGAACCCUUGUAAAAGAAGGAUGCUUCUUCUUCUAUUGAUGGGAGGCUUGGCAGCAUGAAUGGCUUUGGCAAUGACAUGGAGUUUGUGGACAGAUGUGGGAAGCAGCUUGCAAUGGGCUUGCUCUGUUGGGUUUAAUUUUUGAAUCUCUCUCCUUACAUAAGAAAAUACACCUCUGGCAUCCACUGGUCCCUAGCAACCAAGGCACACAGGGCACCCCUGCAUCGGCCUUCUUCUUGGAGCCCACUGGCCACGGCUCAUGUGGGCAACCCCUCACCACGGACCCAUGAGAAACAGAUGACCUCGGCUGUGCAGCAGUGACUGUGAGGAUGGCUUGAUCCACAGUUUGUCAUCGUGACUGCUUGCUGAUAAAAUCAGGAUUGCAUUUACUCCAUAAAUCAACCUGAGUGGCCCUGACAUCUUUGCAACGUUCUGAGUUUUCCAGGGCACAAUCUUGGCAUUUCCUUUUGUUCAUUUAGGUCUUCUUUAAUUUAUUCUCAAUCAUAAUUUCUGGUUUUCUGUGUGAAUGUCUUGAAAACCACUGACUAAAUUUAUUCUUAGGCAU